Molecule: non-coding RNA, 1237 nt
Organism: Heterocephalus glaber (naked mole-rat)
Lineage: Eukaryota; Metazoa; Chordata; Mammalia; Rodentia; Bathyergidae
Source: RefSeq, a predicted model, not a curated record
AGUUACUCCUGCUAAUGUGUUCCUAUACGAAUACUAACACUUAUAUACCUCACAGGGCAGAAAAAGAUAAGAUGGGAAAAAAUAUAAAGCUACCCCAAAAGAAAAUAAGACUCUGCUGUUCUAACAACCUUCUUUCCUAGAACUACUAGCUGUUCUGAAGUUAAGGACUUACUGGGAGUGCUUUUCUUCAGUACAGAGAUCAAAUUAGACAGGAGUCCAACCUAGCUAUUUUGGGUCAAGCAGCAAUUAUUCUUGUAUUUUAAUUUACACUCAUCAUCAACGUAUAUAUCUAAAAUGUCCCAACCAGGACCUACAUGUUCUUAACACAGAAGACAUUUCUUACUAGCUAAAGAGGUGGGUUUAAGCUGGUUUGUAUCCUAUCCUUGGAAGACUAGCAAUGUAAUUUCAGAGUGGAAGCAAAUCCAUGGCUUUUCCAGACAUCUUACUGUUUUGCUAAGAGUUUAUACAGUAAUUAUAUAAUAGAAAAAGCCUGGACUAUCCACAGCCACAAAAAUGAUGAUUCUGAAGAGCUGAACCAGAUAUUAAACUUGGCUUUCCUUUUUUUUUUUUUUUUUUAGAAUUCCAGUCUUCCCUCAGAGCACAUCCUCUCACAAGCUGAUAAGCUCCUUCCAGUUUCUCAUCCUACAGGUUAUAGAGACUUGUAUGUUCACGAAGCCUGAACUUCCAAGUUCACAUCAUGGCAAGACUUCAAAGGCAACACUUUCAGAAAGGCUUUGAAGCCCUGCCUCACAAAAUCUCACUCAUUCAACAAUCGGUGAGCAUCCAAUUGUGAUGAGCCAGGCCUGGGACUGGACUCUGGAUUCUGACAAUAACACUUCCUGUCACUUGGCACCAUACUUAGCUCCGCACUGUCUCACCUUGAAAGAGGAAUACUCAUCGCUACUUCCAAGGGAUACAGUUAAAGGUAGCUACUCUCUUCUGGUGUACCUAGCAACUGUAAACUCUCAACUAAGGGCAUGACCCUUCCUCCAGAGGUUCUAAGCUUGCUUUUUUUUGGUAGAAUGCAUUUAAUGCUGGUUGGCUUUGCCCUCUUUGUAAGUGUUAAAAUAAAACCUGACCCCUUGUAGUUUCUAUCUCCCCUACGGGGAUCCAUCUCUAGGCCACUAUUUUCUGGAAACUUCAGGAUUCAGGUUCAACCCUAACGGCUUGGAAUGAGUAAUGAUCAACCAAACUAAGUGCUUAGUUUUUUUAAAAAAUAAAGGCCAAAGGAAUUUUA